RNAcentral lists this ribosomal RNA (468 nucleotides) under uncultured bacterium. RNAcentral describes it as "partial 16S ribosomal RNA". It matches the Rfam family "Bacterial small subunit ribosomal RNA", at positions 29 to 507 of the family's 1533-position model. The record is from RNAcentral.
UACGAACGCUGGCGGCGUGCUUAACACAUGCAAGUCGAACGGAAAGGCCCUGCUUUUGUGGGGUGCUCGAGUGGCGAACGGGUGAGUAACACGUGAGUAACCUGCCCUUGACUUUGGGAUAACUUCAGGAAACUGGGGCUAAUACCGGAUAGGAGCUCCUGCUGCAUGGUGGGGGUUGGAAAGUUUCGGCGGUUGGGGAUGGACUCGCGGCUUAUCAGCUUGUUGGUGGGGUAGUGGCUUACCAAGGCUUUGACGGGUAGCCGGCCUGAGAGGGUGACCGGCCACAUUGGGACUGAGAUACGGCGCAGACUCCUACGGGAGGCAGCAGUGGGGAAUAUUGCACAAUGGGCGGAAGCCUGAUGCAGCAACGCCGCGUGCGGGAUGACGGCCUUCGGGUUGUAAACCGCUUUCGCCUGUGACGAAGCGUGAGUGACGGUAAUGGGUAAAGAAGCACCGGCUAACUACGUG